RNAcentral lists this ribosomal RNA (200 nucleotides) under uncultured bacterium. Its description in RNAcentral is "partial 16S ribosomal RNA". It matches the Rfam family "Bacterial small subunit ribosomal RNA", at positions 29 to 261 of the family's 1533-position model. The record is from RNAcentral.
AACGAACGCUGGCGGCAGGCUUAACACAUGCAAGUCGAACGCCCCGCAAGGGGAGUGGCAGACGGGUGAGUAACGCGUGGGAACAUACCCUUUCCUGCGGAAUAGCUCCGGGAAACUGGAAUUAAUACCGCAUACGCCCUACGGGGAAAGAUUUAUCGGGAAGGAUUGGCCGCGUUGGAUUAGCUAGUUGGUGGGGUAAA